CUUUGAAAUGUGGGUCACUACCUUUCACCAUUAGAACAGCUAGAGAGUAAUAAGAUGAUAGCCAGAACCAUGACGAGAAUCCACAAGCACCAUACAAUAUAAAGUUAAAAAAGGAAACUGAACAUACUGGAACAAAAGGAUUCUUACUUCUGACUCUCUUCUGUAUUCAUUCUUUAAUCUUCAGUAAUUGCUCUGUCCUGGUCAAGGUCAUGCUGGAUCCGGGAUCUAUCCCGGGAACACUGGGUGCGUAACCCGAGCUCAGGAUCAAACUGGGGACGUUAACAUUACUCUCUGCACCACCACAAUGUGUUUAUUGCUGUAGGGUUCAGUAAACAGCUACAAUGGCUCAACAUGAGAUUCUUUUAAUUUUAAGAACUGUUCAGUACAAAUAUUGCAGCUGAUAGAACAUCAAGUUCGAAUCACCUCAAUCACAGACAAAACAUAUGACCAACAGUAAAAACCUGUAAGAAAUUUCAGAACUGACUUUUUUUUCCCUCUAAGCAAACAUAUUACACAGAAAAUUAAGGUGAUUGAUUGGAUCAGGUUAUGUUAGAUUUUAGGAACCUAAACACUUCAAAUGACAAAAUGAUUGAAUCUGAAUAACGAUUUGAUUCAUGAUAAGAAAAACAGCAAAUAUGGUUACUGCAGGUUGUUCAUAGCGAUAUUUGACUAUAUUUCAACCCAAAGCUCUUUUGUAUGGAAUACUUUAACUGGAGCAGACAGACAUCCUGACACUGCUUUAUAUAGAUUAAGAGCUCUGAGAGAUUGCGUGAUCAAUGUAUUUAAUGUAUAAAAAUGUAGCAACGAUGUCAAAACUUUGGUUUAUCUACAGUUUGUUGGUAGUUUUGUAAGAUUUUUGUCCCGUUUUCAUUGUCAUUUACUAAUCAGCAAGUUUCCUUCUAUGAAUAAUGACAGAAAUCAUCUAGAAAAGUGAACAUAUCCUAAAUAAACUUCUUCUGGAAUUCAAUGAAUAGAUCUUGUAUGGUAGCACUUCUUGUAUUGUUCUCUGCUUGAUAUAUCGCUUUGCUUGUAUCUUUCUCAUUUGUAAGUCGCUUUGGAUAAAAGCAUCUGCUAAGUGAAUAAAUGUAAAUGUAAAUAAUUGGCAAGUGGAAAAUGCCAAUUCUGGGGAAAUAAUAUAACCAGAGCACAGAGCAGUGAACGUCUGCAGGCUUCACUUAAGGCAUCGAUACUAAAGUGCUCUGUGUUGAAAUGUAGGACAGUUGAAUAGAAUUCUGCAUAGUUGUUGCAUAGCUCUUAAGCAGAAAUUAAGCUAGGGAAGACUUCAGGAGAUUUUUUCAUGUCACUCAUAUUCAGACCCAUUACAGGGCUGUGUAAUAACAACACUACAUUACUGUGCUACAUACAGUCUAACUUUCCUUCAUUAACUAUCAGAGAACUUACAACAUGAAUUAUUAAGACUUAUGUGCAAAAACAUUGUGGCGACUCUGCAUAUGACUGGUAGCCACUGGAUGUAUGGUUUAAAAAAAAAAACAGCAAUACAGGGCAGUGUGGGAAAUAGCCACAUUCAGAUAUUUUAAAUGAAAGUUAAUGUGAAAAUGACUAGCUUACUUUCACAUUUAAACUUGUAUCCAUGUUUUUCAUUAAACUGCAACUAUAUACAGUAUAGUACAUGUAUAUUAUAUUGUGCGUAUAUAUAUAUAUAUAUAUAUAUAUAUAUAUAUAUAUA
Long non-coding RNA from Ictalurus punctatus (channel catfish), 1687 nucleotides. NCBI's taxonomy places the organism in Eukaryota, Metazoa, Chordata, Actinopteri, Siluriformes, Ictaluridae. The record is from Ensembl.